GAGGAGUCGGAGGGAGCGGGCGUCGGAGGAGGAGGAACCCUAAAAGGGGCUAAGUAGGUAGCGGAGGUGGUUUAGCGUCUCUGGUUGGUCGGGGAGAGCUAGGGCAUCCUAGGGCUCGCGGAGGGUAAACGAGGAAGGAGGUACCGCGGCAGCGACGGCCGCGCGGAUCGGUGGACUUUGCGCGGGGUAGAAGAGGCAGCUGGUCCUGGCUGGAGCAGGGCGAGGAGAGGAAGGAGAGACCAAGAAGAAGGAGAGAGAGUGGGGAGAUAUAGAAACAAACUCGUCCUCGGGGUACUGCGGCGGAACCAACCGAUGGGCUCGAAGCGACCGGAGAUCGGGGACGGCGGCGCUUAGGCCGCUCUGGGAGGAACUUUUGGCGCGGACACGGGACCUAGGCAGCUGGGGUGGCGGAGGCCACUGAGGGGAGGCAAGGGGCGACAAGGAGUACGGCAGAAGUAGGGCGCGCUCGAGGUCACGACGUCGAGGAGAAAAAAAGGAUAGCUUGUCUCCUCUGCGCGGGCAUCGGAGGGGUGGAGCGUGCAGACCCGGUCGGUCGCGGUUCGAUCCGGGUCAGUGCGGUCUAGGCCGAACGUCCCGAGGGGAGAGGUGGUCGACCCGGUUCCGGGCUAAAGGCUAUUGCAGUGCAAACACUCCUAGGCAAGCAGAUGCAGGCAAACAGAGGAAGUACCUGAGCAAGAAGAAGGAACGCCCUAGAGUCAACGUCCACGGCUACUAUGUCACGUCCACUACGAUGGUUCGAGUUCACCCUCGAGCUACUUCUAGCACAAAGAAUACAACAAAGCAAAGGGGCAACUAGUCAUCACCUCGGGUCAACCCCGCUAGCUCCUAGAUCGUAAACCCCAAUAGAAGAAAAUAAAACCAAGGCAUCAACCUGGAACUAACAUAAGACCUACUACAUACAAAUCGAACAUAAACACACUUCACCGCUUACAUUCGGCAAAGAAAUAGGG
This 971-nucleotide ribosomal RNA is filed under the name Triticum aestivum (bread wheat). RNAcentral describes it as "partial small subunit ribosomal RNA". The record is from RNAcentral. Lineage: Eukaryota; Viridiplantae; Streptophyta; Magnoliopsida; Poales; Poaceae.